UUAGUCACUGUUGCGCACCCGGCUCCUUUGCCUUGGAGAUCGAUCCGCAACUGCACCCCAGAGCGUCCUCAUUGUUCGGAGCGAGCGCGUAUUCGUUUACUUUGUGACUGUGUCCGAAUCUCUGUCCUGCCUCCCAACAACACUGGACUUUUAGGUAGUUUCCAAUCUUCUCUUUUCACCAACUCGGUGGCGGUGAAUAAUCUCACAGAAGCGUUAUUGAGAUUUGUGCAAAGGCGGCACCUCCAGGAAGCAGGUCUCGAAGUGGGAUGGAUGGGACAAAGAGCUUGGGAUUUUCUAACUGACUGACAAUAGUUUGACACACUGGGAGGUUUCAACCUGGAGACCAGCCAGCUGACUUAACCCACAGGAUGACACGGACAGGUAACUUUGCAAAUCCCACUUCUUCUCUGACAGGAGUUUAGUUUGGCUCAGGUGAUGCCCACAGUCUGUCCUCUCUGAACGUUCCAAGGAUCUUAUGGCAAUUGCAGAGACUUCAGAUGGUGACGGGAAUUUCAACAGAAGCGAAUUCACAAAGCAGCGUGUGGCCCACUCUGACCUUGUGCCCAAUUCUGAAUUUGAGUGUGGACUCACCUCACUCACAGAUGUUACCUUUAGCUUGUGUGCGAAUCCUUUAAAAUUUGACGUAUUUA
Non-coding RNA from Peromyscus maniculatus bairdii (prairie deer mouse), 650 nucleotides. The record is from RefSeq and is a predicted model, not a curated record. NCBI's taxonomy places the organism in Eukaryota, Metazoa, Chordata, Mammalia, Rodentia, Cricetidae.